This is a long non-coding RNA of Priapulus caudatus, 746 nucleotides long. RefSeq lists it as uncharacterized. The record is from RefSeq and is a predicted model, not a curated record. The transcript is spliced from 4 exons. Lineage: Eukaryota; Metazoa; Priapulida; Priapulimorpha; Priapulimorphida; Priapulidae.
UUGUACAUGAGGGAUAUACUGCACAGCAUUUAAUAUCCAACCUCACAAGCAGCAUGUGGAGAAUCCGCAAGUCCAGUUACAGUUGAAAUGAAUCAUCUAUGUGACCCCCGUGACCUCUGCAUGUCGGGGCGCCCUCUGGAUGACGUUGUACCGGAGCUUCUGACGCUGUGGCAGACGCUGCUUCGCGUGAGAGACAACAUCUAAGACAGCAUUCGCAACGACGCCGACAUUGUACUGCGCACCUAAGCAAGUGCUGCGUGCAGAUUUGUGAUUCAAACUACGGCAAGGUGGGAGGCAAUGCGCCAGCUGCUGCCCGUGUUGCUGAGGGACGGAGUCAGCAACAGCGUUGCCGAGAUCAGAAGCUUUAGAUGACACGGAUGAAGUUUCUGCUGUGGAUCGGGAAGACUGGCGAUGCUGCGGAGAUGGAAUAGGCAAUACAGCAUGCGGUCGACCGAUGUGGUGCUUCUUACAGUUUCUAUCCUCAAGGAUUGGACAGCCCAGCUAUUUCACUCACACAGUCACUGCCUCGAGUCACCAACAGCGUCAGCAAUAUUGUUUGUCUUCCUAUAUUAAUAUCGCUAGACGGGGGUGCAGAUGGAGACAUGAGAUAGAGAGGGACAUGGAAGGAGGGACAAAUGUCCAGCAGUUGGUGCGCAGGGUCGGUUGCCUACGUAAAUGCCUAAUAUAGUAGCAUUGGGGGAGUGAAAUCUAUUUAGGAUUAUUUCUAUAUUAUAUGUGUGCGUGCG